This 56-nucleotide transfer RNA is filed under the name Oxyrrhis marina. Its description in RNAcentral is "partial Selenocysteine transfer RNA". The record is from RNAcentral. Lineage: Eukaryota; Dinophyceae; Oxyrrhinales; Oxyrrhinaceae.
GGCCAUACUAACCCAGACAAAGUGAUCAUCAAGGUCGACCCUUCAGUCAUCUCGGC